RNAcentral lists this long non-coding RNA (356 nucleotides) under Lynx pardinus (Iberian lynx). Lineage: Eukaryota; Metazoa; Chordata; Mammalia; Carnivora; Felidae. The record is from RNAcentral.
AGAAAAACAGGCUUACAGACUGCAGAUGAGAGAGUCUGGAGCAGAGACAAUUUUAACUUAGCCAUUCCUAAUUUAUCUCAAGCAUUUUCAAUUCAUCUUCACUGCUCUAUGCACACAGGAACACCAGAUUGCCGUCCCUGGGGAACAGAAUGCAACCAGGGAUCUGGAGAGCUGUCACAUUCCAAGAAAUAUUUAAAUUGUGCUGAUUUUCUUCUGGAGAACUGAGCCCAGGGAAUGAAACUCUCCAUCAAGUCAUAGCUUUGCGGGCAAUAGAUCAGAGGAUAUUGCCAGUUUUCUAAUGGAUUAUUGUUAUCGGGCAGGUUUUCUCUGAAGGUACGUAGUUAUUUUCUCAAUUC